This is a long non-coding RNA of Medicago truncatula (barrel medic), 508 nucleotides long. RefSeq lists it as uncharacterized. The record is from RefSeq and is a predicted model, not a curated record. The transcript has 2 exons. NCBI's taxonomy places the organism in Eukaryota, Viridiplantae, Streptophyta, Magnoliopsida, Fabales, Fabaceae.
UAUAAUAAAAGGUUGGUAAAUAUUAUUCAUGUCAGAUCUUUCAUUUAGUGAUCUCGAGGGACAAACACAACACAUGGUUAUAUGUAAAAGACCUUUUAUAAAGACGUUAAUUUUAUAAAGGAGAUCUUGCAUCUCUUUAAGUGCUAUAAUUUUUUUUUUUAUAAAUUGAUACAAAAAUUUAAUGUUUGUCAAAUGAAAAUGAGAAACAAUAUGUCUGGAAUUCUCAAGGUUGUUUAUGUUGUGAUCUUCUUUAUUUCCAUGUUUUGUUGUUUAAAUUGCAUUACCUCCAGACGAACAUAUUAUUGUCAUUAUGAUGAACAGUGUGAUAAAGAUUGUCCCAUUCCUCUCAAAGGUUAUUGUGUUUAUAAAACAUGUUAUUGCAAAAGAUGAUUACAUUAAGCUUGUAAUUCCAGUUACAUAUAAGCCUAUAAUCUCAACUUAAACAUUAUGACAGUGUAAAACUUAUGAUACAUUCACAUUUCAAUUUAUAUUGUUUUGAUAUUCCAAA